UUUUUUUUGGUGCUAGGAAUUUAACCCAGGGAACUUUACCACAGAAUUUUUCCUUUUGAGACAGGGUCUUGCUAAGUUGCUUAGGGCCUCACUAAGUCACUGAUGUUGGCCUAGAACUUUGUGAUCCUUCUGCCUCAGCCUCCCAAGUUGCUGGGAGUAGAGUCAUGUGCCACUAUGCCCAGCUGGUUCCCAUUUUAAAAUUUCAGUCUGUACAUUUUUUCAUAAGUUGAAAUGUGCAGAUUCAGUCUCCAAGCAGCUUCUUCACUGCUCAAGAGUCAAGCUGCAAUACCAGACAAAUAUUUUGCCCCAAAUCCAGAUGAAGCUAUCUACUGGUGUCAUCUUAUUUAAUUUGGAUGUAACUCUUUUUAAAAUAGUAAGUUUAUCAGUAGUUGACUACUAUUUUGACAGCUAUUUUUAAAAAUUCUAUAAAAUAAAUGCCCAGGACAUAAUUUUAUACCUUUAUCACAAAUUCUUAACUACAUUGUCUUUUUCAAUGUGCUAGAAAGUUAGUCUUCAGUCUGGUUUAAUAUCAAAAUUCCAGGGAAGCUCACCCAGAAAGAAAUAUUCUCAUAAAGGCCAAAUUUUAUCAUUAAAUUCUUAUCUUCUGAGCUCUGGAAUUUUGAGUGUGGUGAUAAUUCUGAUCUUUUGAAGCAGAGAUGAGCCCAGAUAGCUCAAAGCCCAGUGGUCCCUUUUUUCUUUUCUUUUUUGUUAUGGUAAAUGUGCAACAUAUAAAAAUAGAAUGGUAUAAUGAAGCUCAUGCAUGUAUCCAUUACCCAACUGGUACUAAGUCAAUUUACAUCUCAUUUUUCCUAAUCAAAUGUAGUUAGUAUAUUCUUUCCUGUUGGCUAUAUGGUCGUCUGACUUUCUUUAUAACCCUCAUUCACAACCUCAGGGAGGUUAUUUGAGGAAAGGAAUAGGCCUCUCUAUUCAUCUUCACUGAGAAAAGAAACCAAACUCAAAUAAAUACAUGAUUUAAAUUAUUCCCUUCCUACAGGGUACUGCAUCUUCUUUAAUUAAAGCAAUGAAUGCAGCAGGAUGCCUGAAGCCCAAAUUCCCCUUCUUAAGUGUACAGAGAUCUGCAUUGUUGUAUAUAGCAUUCCAUCUAAAAGGUAUGUCUUUUUUAAUGAUACACUGCUCAGAACUAAUUUAUCAUUCACUGUAGUAUACAUUAUAAAUAUGAUAAAUAGGAUUGUUUAAACUGGGGUGGUUGCUUCAUUGAAGAGAAAGAGAGAGAGGGAGGGGCAAAUGCAAUACAAAAUAACAAAAAAUAUCAAAACUGAAUAGCUAGUUUUAAAGCAGGGACUAUAACUAAUAUAGUUAGUUCUUAAUAAUCCAUGCCACAAAGAAAGGUGAAUAUAGACAAUUAUGGUCAAAAAUAGAAUCCUCAAAUCCUGUCUGGAAAGGACCGUCUCCUUAGCCAUCCAUCACGGUGCAACUCACUUACACACCCAGUUUUAUUUCUCUUUCAGUUAAUAACUCACUAACCUAUCAGAAAACAUUCACAAAAAUUCUGUGGAAUUUUCUACAGCAUUUAAUCCCAAAGGUUCUGAAUAUACAAGAAAAAAGUAUAAGAAGAAGAUGGAACAGUUUAUGGAGAGAUGUGAACUCAUAACGUACCUGGGUGAUAAGAUGACCAGACAAUACAAGGAACCUCAGUUUAGAGCAAUUGACUUUGAUCAUAAAUUACAGACCUUUCUCUCCCUUAAAAAUAUAGACCCACUUAGUGGAUAGUUUGCUUAGGUUUCCACAAUCUGAAUCUCAAGAGUUAUCUCCAGGUGAUAGAAGAAAGUUGAGAGAAAACUGAAAAAUCUCUCCCUCUCUGAAGUACAUUUCCUUCCCUGAGUGACGUUCCAUGGUUUCCAGAAUUCAAAUGGACUCAAAGGUCUACUAGCCAGGAAAAGUUGCUCUUCUGUAAGAAUAAGUUUGAAUAUAAUUUUAAAGUGUAUUGCUCCUUGCCUGAAACUUUGAUGCUUUAACAAAACAGACAUUUAUUUAAUUUCAUUUAGGAUAUUUAAAUAACCUAUUUUAUUUAAUAAACUUAUUUUCCUUUCUAAAUUUUCAAUAGAAAAAUCUAUCUCAGUUAAAAUUACUCAUAUAAAAUGUUAGAAAGCUUUGAGAAGCAAAA
This 2125-nucleotide long non-coding RNA is filed under the name Marmota monax (woodchuck). The record is from RNAcentral. Lineage: Eukaryota; Metazoa; Chordata; Mammalia; Rodentia; Sciuridae.